This 251-nucleotide ribosomal RNA is filed under the name Triticum aestivum (bread wheat). RNAcentral describes it as "partial small subunit ribosomal RNA". Lineage: Eukaryota; Viridiplantae; Streptophyta; Magnoliopsida; Poales; Poaceae. The record is from RNAcentral.
GUACUUAGCCACCUAGCAUUGGAUGUGAGGAGGACUUUGAGUGUCAUGGAACAUACAUGGCUGUUAGCAGUAUUUUGGACCAACCAACUUCAAUCAUUUCUUGAAUCUUAUGUGUGUUCUAGACCAUUUGGUGCUUCAAGUGUUUUGGAGUAGAAACUUUGUGCUCAUGUAUGUGAUUUGUGUGUUUUGGACCAUUGUUUGAAUUAGUUGAGACUAGCAAUUAGUGGCCCUUUUUAUGUGACUUGUGUGUU